Molecule: non-coding RNA, 76 nt
Organism: Cordylochernes scorpioides
Lineage: Eukaryota; Metazoa; Arthropoda; Arachnida; Pseudoscorpiones; Chernetidae
Source: the annotation of a GenBank genome assembly
GAAUGUGCCGGGUAGCCUAGUGGUCAUGGUAUCUGCCCGGUAAGCGGAACACUGGGUUUAAUUCCCAUCCCAUUUA